AGAAAGCACACGAGAUAAUCUAGUAUUUUUUUGUGUUUUCACCUGAACCAGGGAUUUAUAGCCUAAUCUUACUCACACCUCUUAUUUCUGAGAGUUGAAUUCCACAGCUGCUUUCCUGCAUGCUGAAGGGAGAACUUCCAGAAAGAAGCUGGCAAUAUUUCCACUGCUCAGACAUGCUCUUGCUGCUCGUCGCAGUCCUGGGGAUGCUUUUUACCUCGAGAGACGCCAGAGCCCAGUCAGUGACCCAGCCUGACAACCACAUCAGUGUUUCUGAAGGAGACUCACUGGAGCUGAGGUGCAAGUACACUGGAGCCGUGUCUUUCUACUGGUAUGUCCAAGACCGCAGCCAAGGCCUCCAGCUUCUACUCAAGUACCUUUCAGGGGACACCUUGGUUAAAGGCAUUAAGAAUUUUGAGGCUGAACUUAGGAAGAAUGAGUCGUCCUUCAACCUGAGGAAACACUUUGCUCAUUGGAGUGACUCAGCUGAGUACUUCUGUGCUGUGAGUGCCACAGUGCUGGGAACUGCAUGAGGAGCUGAACACAAACUCUGUGAGACAUGAGGGAAGAGAACUGCACCGGGAAUAUUUUGGAUUCUGACAUAGUAGAAGACACGGUGUUCUUAUUACAUAUUGUAGAGAUGCUCAGGGGCGUGCUGAGCCAGGAUGAGGUGGACACAGUUUAAUGAUUGGAUCUGAGAGUUGGGACUUGGUACUGGAGAAAUUUACUUUUCAUUCAUCAUUUUAUCUUUUAAUAAUUCAAAACAAAAGUGAAGUCCUUUGGAUGA
Non-coding RNA from Pipistrellus kuhlii (Kuhl's pipistrelle), 784 nucleotides. The record is from the annotation of a RefSeq genome assembly. Lineage: Eukaryota; Metazoa; Chordata; Mammalia; Chiroptera; Vespertilionidae.